GAGAUAAGAAGAGGAUAAUGGACUGU
RNAcentral lists this non-coding RNA (26 nucleotides) under Cricetulus griseus (Chinese hamster). Lineage: Eukaryota; Metazoa; Chordata; Mammalia; Rodentia; Cricetidae. The record is from RNAcentral.